UUAGAGACUAACAAAUUUAUUUGGGCAUAAGCUUUCAUGGACUAGAACCCACUUCAUAAAUUGCAUGGAGUGGAAAUUAUGGGAGAAGGUAUAAAUACAUGAAAAGAAGUGAGUUGCCUUACCAAGUUCGAGGUCAGUCUAAAGAGACAGUUCAAUUUACAGUAGGACC
Long non-coding RNA from Dermochelys coriacea (leatherback sea turtle), 169 nucleotides. RefSeq lists it as uncharacterized. The transcript is spliced from 3 exons. NCBI's taxonomy places the organism in Eukaryota, Metazoa, Chordata, Testudines, Dermochelyidae. The record is from RefSeq and is a predicted model, not a curated record.